This 1600-nucleotide ribosomal RNA is filed under the name Microbacterium saperdae. Its description in RNAcentral is "bacterial SSU rRNA". It matches the Rfam family "Bacterial small subunit ribosomal RNA", at positions 81 to 1431 of the family's 1533-position model. Lineage: Bacteria; Bacillati; Actinomycetota; Actinomycetes; Micrococcales; Microbacteriaceae. The record is from RNAcentral.
UGCUGGGUGGAUCAGUGGCGAACGGGUGAGUAACACGUGAGCAACCUGCCCCUGACUCUGGGAUAAGCGCUGGAAACGGCGUCUAAUACUGGAUAUGUACCACGAUCGCAUGGUCUGUGGUUGGAAAGAUUUUUCGGUUGGGGAUGGGCUCGCGGCCUAUCAGCUUGUUGGUGAGGUAAUGGCUCACCAAGGCGUCGACGGGUAGCCGGCCUGAGAGGGUGACCGGCCACACUGGGACUGAGACACGGCCCAGACUCCUACGGGAGGCAGCAGUGGGGAAUAUUGCACAAUGGGCGCAAGCCUGAUGCAGCAACGCCGCGUGAGGGAUGACGGCCUUCGGGUUGUAAACCUCUUUUAGCAGGGAAGAAGCGAAAGUGACGGUACCUGCAGAAAAAGCGCCGGCUAACUACGUGCCAGCAGCCGCGGUAAUACGUAGGGCGCAAGCGUUAUCCGGAAUUAUUGGGCGUAAAGAGCUCGUAGGCGGUUUGUCGCGUCUGCUGUGAAAUCCGGAGGCUCAACCUCCGGCCUGCAGUGGGUACGGGCAGACUAGAGUGCGGUAGGGGAGAUUGGAAUUCCUGGUGUAGCGGUGGAAUGCGCAGAUAUCAGGAGGAACACCGAUGGCGAAGGCAGAUCUCUGGGCCGUAACUGACGCUGAGGAGCGAAAGGGUGGGGAGCAAACAGGCUUAGAUACCCUGGUAGUCCACCCCGUAAACGUUGGGAACUAGUUGUGGGGUCCAUUCCACGGAUUCCGUGACGCAGCUAACGCAUUAAGUUCCCCGCCUGGGGAGUACGGCCGCUACGGGCAGACUAGAGUGCGGUAGGGGAGAUUGGAAUUCCUGGUGUAGCGGUGGAAUGCGCAGAUAUCAGGAGGAACACCGAUGGCGAAGGCAGAUCUCUGGGCCGUAACUGACGCUGAGGAGCGAAAGGGUGGGGAGCAAACAGGCUUAGAUACCCUGGUAGUCCACCCCGUAAACGUUGGGAACUAGUUGUGGGGUCCAUUCCACGGAUUCCGUGACGCAGCUAACGCAUUAAGUUCCCCGCCUGGGGAGUACGGCCGCAAGGCUAAAACUCAAAGGAAUUGACGGGGACCCGCACAAGCGGCGGAGCAUGCGGAUUAAUUCGAUGCAACGCGAAGAACCUUACCAAGGCUUGACAUAUACGAGAACGGGCCAGAAAUGGUCAACUCUUUGGACACUCGUAAACAGGUGGUGCAUGGUUGUCGUCAGCUCGUGUCGUGAGAUGUUGGGUUAAGUCCCGCAACGAGCGCAACCCUCGUUCUAUGUUGCCAGCACGUAAUGGUGGGAACUCAUGGGAUACUGCCGGGGUCAACUCGGAGGAAGGUGGGGAUGACGUCAAAUCAUCAUGCCCCUUAUGUCUUGGGCUUCACGCAUGCUACAAUGGCCGGUACAAAGGGCUGCAAUACCGCGAGGUGGAGCGAAUCCCAAAAAGCCGGUCCCAGUUCGGAUUGAGGUCUGCAACUCGACCUCAUGAAGUCGGAGUCGCUAGUAAUCGCAGAUCAGCAACGCUGCGGUGAAUACGUUCCCGGGUCUUGUACACACCGCCCGUCAAGUCAUGAAAGUCGGUAACACCUGAAGCCGGC